Molecule: long non-coding RNA, 4635 nt
Organism: Hevea brasiliensis (rubber tree)
Lineage: Eukaryota; Viridiplantae; Streptophyta; Magnoliopsida; Malpighiales; Euphorbiaceae
Exons: 2
Source: RefSeq, a predicted model, not a curated record
UAUAAAGUUCCAUGCAUAGGAUGUGAAGCUCAGUCUUUUGAAUUGGGCCAAUUUUGUUUGCAAGAUUCAUUGAUUUGAAAGAAGUAAAUUUGCUCAUUUUUUUCAUGUCAAAUGGAUUAGGCUUAUAAUUUCAUCCAAGGAAUUUUAAUGAUCUUUUAUAGCCUGGCAACAAGUUCUUGGUGGAUAUUUUCCUUGCUUUGACUAAACAAUUUAAUUAGGGUAAUUUAAAGAACCCCUUGCGUGGUUUGUCAAAGUACAUGAGUUGGUCCCGCAUUUUUUAAAAACUCUCUAAGUGGUCCUUGACAUUAUAUUAUAUUAAACAAUGUAGUCCUUCCUUUAGGUUUUCAAGUUGUUGGAAUUGAUGAGAUUCCAUGUUCCAUUUUAAGGGAAUUGUUAUGGAAAGUCCGUAUAAAUUUUAUCUAUUCCUAAUUAGUAGAUUUUAUGCAUUCCUAGUUUUUAUAGGAUUUAUAUUUUUAAUUAAUGUAGGAUUUAUAUUCCUAAAUAGGUAGGAAUUAUAUUCCUAAUUAAAUAUGUAAUCUUUUAUUAGGAGAUUUGUUUAUAAAUAUGUAGUCUUUUAUUUUGUAGAAUUAAUGAGAAUAAAGAUGUAGCCUUUGAUUUAUUUCUCCUCUUUCUUUUUACUUCUAAUUCUUAAAUUUUGACAUGAUAUCAGAGCAUGGUUUGUUUCUUGUGGGUUUUCUAUCCAGUUUCUAGUUGAUUUUCUCCCCUAUUUUUAAGCCUCCUUGUUGAGAAGCUAAUACAAGGAAUGUUAAUAAACUUGGCCCGAAGGUUGAUCAUAUGAAGGGACCAAGUAAAUGAGUCAGUAGUUCAACUAAUGGAUCAAUGGUUCAACCAGUGCGUCAUUAAAAAUAAAGUAAGUAUAUAUAAAUUAAUUAAAAAUUAAUUAAAUAUAACACCUAUUAAUAUAAAAUAAAUAAAUUAAAUUUUAAUUAUUUAAAAUAAAAAUUUAACAUUUAUUAAGUUAUAUUUAAUAAAUUUUAAUAGUGUUUUAAAUUUUAUAUAAAAGUAUUCAAGUAAUAUAAUGUAUAAAAUUUUUUAUAAAUGUAUAAUUCUCUUUUUAAUAUUUAUGAAAUGUAAAGUAUAUGUUAAAAAAUAAAUAUAUUGAAAUGCCAAAACACAUAACUACCAAACUAGCUCAAUUGAUUUUAAUUUUAAAGAUUUUUUAUGAGAUUUUGAGUUCAAUUCUCUAUACCAACACUAAAAAAGGAAAAAAAGAGUUAAUUGAAUAAUUGAACUGGCCAAGUCAACCAAUCACACUGAUUCAACAUCAGAUCACUUCCUUAUUUUGUUCAAUUAUAAACCUGGACCGGUUUGAGAGCCGGUUCACUCGUUCAAUUGGUCGGUUCGGUGUGAGUUAACUAUGAAUAUAAGAGCCUAAAAUUCUCUACCCUUUGUAGUUUUGAACUUUGUUUGUCCUUACCCCUUGCAACUCUAGGUCACCUAGAAAGGGGUGAGCAUUCGGUUUAAAACGAACCAAAUUAAAUUAUGAAAUCUAAAUUACAUAUUUUAAAAACCGAACCGAAUCGAAAUAGAUGAAAAAAUCGAAUCGAACCGAAUCGCUCUAUUCUGGUUCGGUUCGGUUCAAACCGAUCGGUUUUGAUUUUUGAUUGAUUUUUUAAUUUAGACUUGAUUUUCAAGUUAUUUAGUCUAAUUUUGAUUUUGGUUUGAACCUAAUAACCAUUAAUCAAUGAAAUUAAAUAAUUUAUAUAUAAAAAAUUAAAUAUAAUUAAUAAAUUUCUCAUAAAAAUAAAUUAAUUCAAAAAUCAAUUGGGUUUGAUUUGGUUCGAUUUGAAUAUAUAAAAUUACUAUUCGGUUCAGUUUGGUUUAACCGAUUUUUUUUUCCUUCAAAAGUUUUUCCCAACCGAACCGAAAUAACCGAAAUUUUUAUAACUAAAACCGAACCGAACCGAUUGAAUUUUAAGACUGAAUUGAUUGAACCGGAUUGAUUCAGUUCGGUUCAGUUUUUCGGUUUGAACCAAAAUCUGCUCACCCCUACCUUUCUAGGGUGAUUUCUUUAUCUCACGGCCCACCCAACGAGGACCAUAGACCAUCGGCGACCGCAACCACCAACUUCAUUGAUCGAAGCUAUAGUGCGUGGCCCACAUGAGUAGAAACUGUUUUUCGCCCUAUGCCAUGCACUGGCGAGUGGUGGCAUGUCUGCCAGAGUUUGCAUCACCAACUUCUUCUCUGGACAUUGCCCUGACAUCCUUAGUCUAGAUAUAGGAGCUAUUGUUUGGUCCGAGGUAUUUUCAGAUGCUCUACCUCAGGUUCGGGCAAGGUUUAGUUUUGGGCAACUAGGUUCUAUUUUGAGAACUUUUUUCUUUUUAUUUGAGUUUUCUUUAGUUGGGGUAUUUGCUUUGCUAAGGAUUGGGUACUGGUAUUUGGUGAAAUAUUGGGUAGCUGUUUUAUUGUUAGAGCUGUGGGUUUGCUUUUACUUCUGAGUAUUUUGGGUUCUAAGUGCUCCAGACCUAUUUCUGGAUUUUCUUGGCUCUCUAAUUUGGGUGGUUUAGCAAGUUUUGGCUUUCAAGACUCACUAUCAGAGCUCGCUUUUCAAUUUUGUGGUGAUUGGUCACUACAAUUCUUAAAUUCCUUGCUGUUUUGAGUUUUGGUGCCUCUUAGUGUUGCUUCUCUGUUGGUUGAGGUUGGGAUUUUGUUUCUUUGUUUUCUAUUGCUGCAAUUCUUCUAAGGACACUGGCGGUCGUUGUUUGUGUUGGUGGGUUACCAUUUGAUAAUCCUUUUGAAGGUUUCUUGAAGUUUGGACAGCAACCAUGUGGGCUGUUUCGAUAAAGAUUCACCUACUGUUUUGGUGUUUCCUUGCUAGGAUUGGCUUUGGAGAGGUUUUGUGCUGAUGUUUCCUUGCCGUUGGCUUUGGCGAGGGUUUGUUUUUGGUGUUUGAACCUUUGUUUAGGUGUUUCUGAAUUUGGUGUAGUACUGUUACUUUGCGUUUGAGCCUGAUGGAUCGCUAGACCUGUCGUAGUCUUCUAAGGAGAAUCUCAUCAAGGGGGAAUGUUGGAAUUUAUGAGAUUCCAUUCUCCAUUUUAAGAGGGAGGCUAUGCAAAAGUCCAUAUAAAUUUUAUUUAUUCAUAUUUAGAAGAUGAUAUGUAUUUCUGAUUAGUAUAGGUUUUCGAUUCCUAAUUAAUGUAGGAUUUAUAUUCCUAAUUAAAUGGGGUAAUUAUAGGAGAUUUGUUUAUAAAUAUGUAAUCUGAUGGAACUAAUGGAUUUGAGAGAAAUCUCUGUAUUUUUCAUAUCUGAAAUUCUUUGUACAUGCUUCUAUUUAUAUACAGGUGAUUUAUCCUAAAAUGAUUUAUCUCUCUAAAGAGAUAGAGGAAGAAGUAAAAUCCAAUUGACAGGUGUUGCUAGAAGGGCGCAUGGAGAAUGUGUUGUUAAUGGGAUGGAGGAGUAAAUUAAAAUUCAAUUAACUCAGAAAUGUAUGAAAUGGCAGCUGAGUGAGCUUAAUUGUUCAAUUACAAAGAAAAGAACAAUUUAACAAGGCAAAAGAUAAAUCCUAAAUCCCUUGUUGGUCAAAAAUUUCUCCCCAAGCUUUUUAACUAGACUAUUCUCUAAAACAGAAAGGUAAGCAUGCCAUCCUUAUGGAGUAGUCCCCCUUUUAUAGUUUUUCCUUCUGUCUCAUGCCCCUGUUCUCCUGUAAUUGACUGCCUCCAAUUCUGUUUCUGGAACCCUGUUUCUCCUCGAAUAAACCUUCCACACUUCCACCAGGGCAUCUGUUUUGGGCCUUGAUCCAUUCUCUUAUCAUUGUUAGUGGGUUCUUCUACCUAGAAUGCCAUCCCAAUAGGUUCCUGCCUGUGGAUUUUCUGUCCAUUAUUUCCCAAUCCUCCAUUUUUCUUUUGCGUGUCAUUCGAAAAUCAAUGGCAAGAACAAUAUAUAUCUGGCCAUCCUAUAUUUCACCAUUUCCCAAUAUUUAUUGUGGUCUCACCAAUAAUCAACAACGAAAUAUUAUAUGCAGAAAAGCAACAAAUGAAACAGAUUGGUACAUGUACAAGAUACGUGGAUAAGUAGUUUAGUUUCCAUGUGAGGCAAGUUAAAAUAUUGGAAUGGAUUGGUGCAAAUAUGGAUGAUGGAUAUCAUUAACGGGCCCACUGUAGAGUUUUUUUUUUUUUUUUUUUUUUUUUUUAAUAUUUUACUAAUGUUUAAAUGCUUGCUUUUUGAGGAUGGAAGGAUUCUUUGAUUAUGUGAGAGAAACCAAUAGGACAACUUAAUGAGGUUUUACAUAAGGAGAUAUCAGCUCUCGUAGUUUGACAAACCUCAAAGGGGAUAUUGUGAAUUACCCAUUUAAUAACUAAAUGAAAGAUAAUAGAGUUGAAAAUUGUAGAAAGAGAUGAUUCUCCUUAAUUUCAAUUAAUCUGUACAUGAGUAUAUAUAUACAAUUGAUUCCUAUAAUUGUGUUUUACUAAUUAGGAAGAAAUUCUAAAUAGGAAGAAAUUCUAAAUAGGAAUACAGGAUACAGAAUAUACAGAGAAAUAAUAUAGUAAUUGACUAUCUGUAACACUCCCCCUCAAGUUGGAGCAUAGAUGUUAAUCAUGCCCAACUUGUUACAAAUGUAGUCAAUCCUAGCUCCAUUCAGAGCUUUUGUGAAAAUAUCUCCUAACUGCUCUCCAA